Molecule: ribosomal RNA, 484 nt
Filed under: uncultured bacterium
Lineage: Bacteria
Description: bacterial SSU rRNA
Rfam family: Bacterial small subunit ribosomal RNA
Source: RNAcentral
GAUGAACGCUAGCGGCAGGCUUAAUACAUGCAAGUCGAGGGGCAUCAAGGUACACGAAAGUGUAUUGUUGGCGACCGGCGGACGGGUGAGUAAUAGGUAGGUAACCUACCUCAUACUGAGGCAUAGCUGGGAGAAAUUCCAGGUAAUUCCUCAUGAGGUUAUAUGACACAUGUGAUAUAAUCAAAGGUAUCGCAAGGUACUGGUAUGAGAUGGGCUUACUGACCAUUAGCUAGUUGGUGAGAUAAGAGCUCACCAAGGCGAAGAUGGUUAGGGGUUUUGAGAGAGAGAUCCCCCACAUUGGAACUGAGAUACGGUCCAGACUCCUACGGGAGGCAGCAGUAGGGAAUAUUGGGCAAUGGGCGGAAGCCUGACCCAGCCAUGCCGCGUGAAGGAGACGGCCUUAUGGGUUGUAAACUUCUUUACUAUGCGAUAACUAGAUUUACGAGAUAAUUCUAUAGAAUGUAGCAUAGCAAAAAGCACCGGA